RNAcentral lists this ribosomal RNA (1442 nucleotides) under uncultured organism. RNAcentral's name for it is "16S ribosomal RNA". It matches the Rfam family "Bacterial small subunit ribosomal RNA". The record is from RNAcentral.
GGCCCGCUUAACACAUGCAAGUCGAGGGGCAGCAUUCCUUUUUGCUUGCAAACUGGAGAUGGCGACCGGCGCACGGGUGAGUAACACGUAUCCAACCUGCCGAUAACUCGGGGAUAGCCUUUCGAAAGAAAGAUUAAUACCCGAUGGUAUAAUCAGACCGCAUGGUCUUGUUAUUAAAGAAUUUCGGUUAUCGAUGGGGAUGCGUUCCAUUAGGCAGUUGGUGAGGUAACGGCUCACCAAACCUUCGAUGGAUAGGGGUUCUGAGAGGAAGGUCCCCCACAUUGGAACUGAGACACGGUCCAAACUCCUACGGGAGGCAGCAGUGAGGAAUAUUGGUCAAUGGGCGCAGGCCUGAACCAGCCAAGUAGCGUGAAGGAUGACUGCCCUAUGGGUUGUAAACUUCUUUUAUAUGGGAAUAAAGUUUUCCACGUGUGGAAUUUUGUAUGUACCAUAUGAAUAAGGAUCGGCUAACUCUGUGCCAGCAGCCGCGGUAAUACGGAGGAUCCGAGCGUUAUCCGGAUUUAUUGGGUUUAAAGGGAGCGUAGGUGGACAGUUAAGUCAGUUGUGAAAGUUUGCGGCUCAACCGUAAAAUUGCAGUUGAUACUGGCUGUCUUGAGUACAGUAGAGGUGGGCGGAAUUCGUGGUGUAGCGGCGAAAUGCUUAGAUAUCACGAAGAACUCCGAUUGCGAAGGCAGCUCACUGGACUGCAACUGACACUGAUGCUCGAAAGUGUGGGUAUCAAACAGGAUUAGAUACCCUGGUAGUCCACACAGUAAACGAUGAAUACUCGCUGUUUGCGAUAUACAGUAAGCGGCCAAGCGAAAGCAUUAAGUAUUCCACCUGGGGAGUACGCCGGCAACGGUGAAACUCAAAGGAAUUGACGGGGGGCCCGCACAAGCGGAGGAACAUGUGGUUUAAUUCGAUGAUACGCGAGGAACCUUACCCGGGCUUAAAUUGCAUUUGAAUAUAUUGGAAACAGUAUAGCCGUAAGGCAAAUGUGAAGGUGCUGCAUGGUUGUCGUCAGCUCGUGCCGUGAGGUGUCGGCUUAAGUGCCAUAACGAGCGCAACCCUUAUCUUUAGUUACUAACAGGUCAUGGUGAGGACUCUAGAGAGACUGCCGUCGUAAGAUGUGAGGAAGGUGGGGAUGACGUCAAAUCAGCACGGCCCUUACGUCCGGGGCUACACACGUGUUACAAUGGGGGGUACAGAAGGCAGCUACCUGGUGACAGGAUGCUAAUCCCAAAAGCCUCUCUCAGUUCGGAUCGAAGUCUGCAACCCGACUUCGUGAAGCUGGAUUCGCUAGUAAUCGCGCAUCAGCCAUGGCGCGGUGAAUACGUUCCCGGGCCUUGUACACACCGCCCGUCAAGCCAUGAAAGCCGGGGGUACCUGAAGUACGUAACCGCAAGGAGCGUCCUAGGGUAAAACUGGUAAUUGGGGCUAAG